RNAcentral lists this ribosomal RNA (626 nucleotides) under Lactobacillus gasseri. RNAcentral describes it as "bacterial SSU rRNA". It matches the Rfam family "Bacterial small subunit ribosomal RNA", at positions 380 to 997 of the family's 1533-position model. The record is from RNAcentral. Lineage: Bacteria; Bacillati; Bacillota; Bacilli; Lactobacillales; Lactobacillaceae.
AGUCUGAUGGAGCAACGCCGCGUGAGUGAAGAAGGGUUUCGGCUCGUAAAGCUCUGUUGGUAGUGAAGAAAGAUAGAGGCAGUAACUGGCCUUUAUUUGACGGUAAUUACUUAGAAAGUCACGGCUAACUACGUGCCAGCAGCCGCGGUAAUACGUAGGUGGCAAGCGUUGUCCGGAUUUAUUGGGCGUAAAGCGAGUGCAGGCGGUUCAAUAAGUCUGAUGUGAAAGCCUUCGGCUCAACCGGAGAAUUGCAUCAGAAACUGUUGAACUUGAGUGCAGAAGAGGAGAGUGGAACUCCAUGUGUAGCGGUGGAAUGCGUAGAUAUAUGGAAGAACACCAGUGGCGAAGGCGGCUCUCUGGUCUGCAACUGACGCUGAGGCUCGAAAGCAUGGGUAGCGAACAGGAUUAGAUACCCUGGUAGUCCAUGCCGUAAACGAUGAGUGCUAAGUGUUGGGAGGUUUCCGCCUCUCAGUGCUGCAGCUAACGCAUUAAGCACUCCGCCUGGGGAGUACGACCGCAAGGUUGAAACUCAAAGGAAUUGACGGGGGCCCGCACAAGCGGUGGAGCAUGUGGUUUAAUUCGAAGCAACGCGAAGAACCUUACCAGGUCUUGACAUCCAGUGCAAA